GGAAGUAAAAGUCGUAACAAGGUUUCCGUAGGUGAACCUGCGGAAG
This 46-nucleotide ribosomal RNA is filed under the name Lactifluus sp. 2 JH-2015. RNAcentral's name for it is "partial 18S ribosomal RNA". RNAcentral also lists the same sequence under 1 other name. The record is from RNAcentral. Lineage: Eukaryota; Fungi; Basidiomycota; Agaricomycetes; Russulales; Russulaceae.